This 505-nucleotide ribosomal RNA is filed under the name uncultured archaeon. RNAcentral's name for it is "bacterial SSU rRNA". It matches the Rfam family "Archaeal small subunit ribosomal RNA", at positions 321 to 827 of the family's 1478-position model. The record is from RNAcentral.
CCCGACGGGGUGCAGCAGGCGCGAAAACUUGGCAAUGCGAGAAAUCGUGACCAGGGAACUCCAAGUGCGUAGGGUAAGACCUACGCUUUUCUUGACUCUUCAAAGGUCUUGGAAUAAGGGGUGGGUAAGGACGGUGCCAGCCGCCGCGGUAAUACCGGCGCCUCAAGUGGUAGUCGCUUUUAUUGGGCCUAAAACGUCCGUAGCCGGUCUGGUGCAUUCGUGGGUAAAUCAACCCGCUCAACGGGUUGAAUUCUGCGAGCACGGCCAGACUUGGGACCGGGAGAGGUGUGGGGUACUNUCAGGGUAGGGGUAAAAUCCUGUCAUCCUGAGAGGACCACCUGUUGCGAAGGCGCCACACUAGAACGGAUCCGACGGUCAGGGACGAAACCUAGGGGCACGAACCGGAUUAGAUACCCGGGUAGUCCUAGGUGUAAACGCUGUGGACUUGAUGUUGGGGGCGCUCCGAGCGCUCUCAGUGUCGAAGCGAAGGUGAUAAGUCCANGNU